CGUAUCCGUUCAGAACUAAUGCAGCCGGUUGUAUUAUGAUGAUGCAAGCAUUGUGCUGUGGUUUUGAUCCCCUGACGGAUCUCAAAACCGGGCCGCAAAAACGCAGAUGUGAAAGUAGCCUUAUCUGUCCAACUUAUGGCUUGUAAAUGAAGCUAGAGCUGCUCCUACAGCCCCCUGUGAGGACACGCUGAGACUUGUAGUUCAGCACCAGCCAGUUACCACACAGCUAGCAAUAAGAGUGAACCAUUCGUCGUCUUAUACUGAUUAUUCCCGCUUUCCUCCGGCCUGAAUACUGCAGAAUGUGACCACUGAUGGCGCCAUCACGGAAAUCAAUAAGAAGAUUGAUAUCGAUAUCGCAUCUCUGAAGACACUUAUGGAGUCGCAUAAACUGGACACCAUCCGGUUUUUGGCUGCUUCUGUAUUUACGUGCCUGGCGAUCGCCCUGGGAUUUUAUCGACUCUGGAAAUAGUAAAGACGUUUUCUAAAACAUUCCUGGUCGCACUUGAAUGGCAGCUGCUCCAGGGGCAGUCCUUCCUCCGCUGCCGCAUCGUUUCCUCUCUGUGGGCAGAGCUGCAGCCCCCUACGUGGCGGUUCAGAGUUAUUUAUGCUUUUUAAUAAUCUCCCACGCACAAUUUAUCAUUUCUCAAGUUACUCCGGGAACCGACUGAAUGUCUCGUAUCUGCACCAAAUGUGCCUUUUUAUAUGAGUUUUGGGAGUGGAAUGUGUUUGUUAUUAUAUUAAACUUAUUGGACGCUGCUG
Long non-coding RNA from Bufo gargarizans (Asiatic toad), 759 nucleotides. RefSeq lists it as uncharacterized. The transcript is spliced from 2 exons. NCBI's taxonomy places the organism in Eukaryota, Metazoa, Chordata, Amphibia, Anura, Bufonidae. The record is from RefSeq and is a predicted model, not a curated record.